Molecule: ribosomal RNA, 388 nt
Filed under: uncultured bacterium
Lineage: Bacteria
Description: bacterial SSU rRNA
Rfam family: Bacterial small subunit ribosomal RNA
Source: RNAcentral
AUUGAACGCUGGCGGAAUGCUUUACACAUGCAAGUCGAACGGCAGCACGGGGGCAACCCUGGUGGCGAGUGGCGAACGGGUGAGUAAUACAUCGGAACGUGCCCAAUCGUGGGGGGAUAACGUAGCGAAAGCUACGCUAAUACCGCAUACGAUCUACGGAUGAAAGCGGGGGAUCGCAAGACCUCGCGCGAAUGGAGCGGCCGAUGGCAGAUUAGGUAGUUGGUGGGGUAAAGGCUCACCAAGCCGACGAUCUGUAGCUGGUCUGAGAGGACGACCAGCCACACUGGGACUGAGACACGGCCCAGACUCCUACGGGAGGCAGCAGUGGGGAAUUUUGGACAAUGGGCGCAAGCCUGAUCCAGCCAUUCCGCGUGCAGGAUGAAGGCCU